UAUUAUUCUGAUCAUCAGAAAGAAAAGCACUUUGGGAAACCCAGAGCUGGGUUCCCAGAGUCGAGACUAGAACCCAGACCCAAGAGAACCAUGAAAGCUAACAACGGCUGACAAGUCUCCAAAGAGAAGUCACUGGCAACAGAAUGAAAGGCACCAGAUGAUUUGGUCCAAAAAAUCAAGAGUUUAGAGCUUGGGACUGAGUUUCAGACACAAGCAAGCUGAGGGCUGGCUGGUCCUCCUUCCACUUGGAGCGUAUCACAGUUCUGGCCAAGCAGACUGGCUGGCCAUCCCUUUUAGGGGCUACCUGUGAAUCUCUCUGUAGCUCUCAAUCAUCCAGCAUCAAUUUGAGCUCCUGGAUUCUGUUUUUUUAUCUUUCUAGGGUACUAUGAGCCAAAUGCUCCCUCAAAGGCCCUGGCCAUUGUUGGAAAACUCUCUCUGUCCUUUGAAUUCUUGAACUAGAAGUUUUCCAGCCUGUCUGGAUUUGAUGUGUAACGUGCUCAUCUCCAUCUGAGUGGGGGAAACAGCUGCUUCCCCCCCCCCCUUUCUUCUCUCCUGGGAGAUUGCCUUGGACCAUUCCUCUGAGGUUGCCCUGGACUGUUAGAAUGGGCCCCUCCCUCUGAGAGACUUCAGGGGUGUCCAGU
Molecule: long non-coding RNA, 641 nt
Filed under: Mus pahari (shrew mouse)
Lineage: Eukaryota; Metazoa; Chordata; Mammalia; Rodentia; Muridae
Description: lncRNA (MGP_PahariEiJ_G0005461.1)
Source: RNAcentral